Molecule: long non-coding RNA, 315 nt
Filed under: Gossypium barbadense (sea-island cotton)
Lineage: Eukaryota; Viridiplantae; Streptophyta; Magnoliopsida; Malvales; Malvaceae
Description: long non-coding RNA (GBAR_LNC005456)
Source: RNAcentral
UAUACAAAACAUACCUCAUCGUUUGGAUUUUACGAGCGUAUUAAUUGAAAUUAUUACAGAAAGAUCGCUCAUUCCCAAACCCAAGUACCUUCGGGAUUUAGCCGGAUAAAGCAACUCGCAUAAAUGCCUUCGGGUCUUAGCCCGGAUAUAGUAACUAGCCCAAAUGCCUUCGGGACUUAGCCCGGAUAUAGCAACUAGCACAAAUGCCUUCGGGACUUAGCCCGGAUAUAGCAACUCGCACAAAUGCCUUCGGGUCUUAGCCUGGAUAUAGUAACUAGCCCAAAUGCCUUCGGGACUUAGCCCGGAUAUCAUCCG